GCCGUUUUAGCUCAGUCGGUAGAGCACUUCCAUGGUAAGGAAGGGGUCGCUGGUUCGAUUCCAGUAAAUGGCA
RNAcentral lists this transfer RNA (73 nucleotides) under Lactococcus sp. RNAcentral describes it as "tRNA-Thr". It matches the Rfam family "tRNA". Rfam says of the family: Transfer RNA (tRNA) molecules are approximately 80 nucleotides in length. Their secondary structure includes four short double-helical elements and three loops (D, anti-codon, and T loops). Lineage: Bacteria; Bacillati; Bacillota; Bacilli; Lactobacillales; Streptococcaceae. RNAcentral also lists the same sequence under 4 other names. The record is from RNAcentral.